UCUCCCCCGCUGCCCCUCAGAUCGCUGUAGUGCCUUGGAAGCGGAGAGAAAGUUACUCAAGACGGCUUUCCAGCCGGUGCCCAGGCGGCCCCAGAACCACCUGGACGCCGCGCUGGUCCUGUCGGCUCUCUCCUCCUCUUAGUUCUUUAAAAAAAAAAAUUUUUUUAAUCGUUGUAAUAAUUGUAAAAAAAUAAUAAUAAUCUCUGUAUAGUUACGACUUGUAAGCAUGUCUGUGUAUGAACACCUAAAAGAGAAAAGUCAACAAAAAAAGAAAUAAAAGAGAAAUAAAACCAGUCCCCCCGGGUCCUCCCCAAGUCGCUUCUGCACCCCACGUGAGCUGAGGUUGUGAGAUUGGUUUGCGAGGCUGAUUUUGGGGGGUGGCGUUUCCGUGAGAAUAAGCGUGUCUGACUUGUUUGUAAAUACAGAAAAUGUACAUAUGUGUGAACCAAAUUGUACAAGAAAGUAUCUAUUUUUGGCUAAAUAAAUGAGCUGUUGCCACUUUGACUAUAA
This is a non-coding RNA of Miniopterus natalensis, 510 nucleotides long. NCBI's taxonomy places the organism in Eukaryota, Metazoa, Chordata, Mammalia, Chiroptera, Miniopteridae. The record is from RefSeq and is a predicted model, not a curated record.